CAGGCUGGCUAGAUGGUCGCGGCGUUGAGGAAUCAGCGUCGAGGAAAGUCCGCACUCCACAGAGCAAGUUGCCGGGUAACACCCGGGGCGGGGAUUCUUCGGAAGAACCUGCCGGACAGGGCCACAGAGACAUACCGCUCGCAAGGGCAAGGGUGAAAAGGCGGUGUAAGAGACCACCGGCAUUACAGCAAUGUAAUGGCCAGGCAACCCCUAACCGGAGCAAGGCCAAGCAGGGACGAAGCCGUGAAAACGGCGGGAAGCGGCUCGCUUUCUUAUCAGUCUCGGGUAGGCUGCAAGAGCCGGUUGGUAACAACCGGUCUAGAGAGAUGACCAUCAGCCCGAAAACCGUGCCUUGGGCAUACCUUUUCGGGUUACAGAAUGCGGCUUAUCGGCUAGCCUGUACC
This 404-nucleotide RNase P RNA is filed under the name Anaerolineaceae bacterium. Its description in RNAcentral is "RNase P RNA component class A". It matches the Rfam family "Bacterial RNase P class A". Rfam says of the family: Ribonuclease P (RNase P) is a ubiquitous endoribonuclease, found in archaea, bacteria and eukarya as well as chloroplasts and mitochondria. Its best characterised activity is the generation of mature 5'-ends of tRNAs by cleaving the 5'-leader elements of precursor-tRNAs. The record is from RNAcentral. Lineage: Bacteria; Bacillati; Chloroflexota; Anaerolineae; Anaerolineales; Anaerolineaceae.